Molecule: unclassified non-coding RNA, 312 nt
Filed under: uncultured fungus
Lineage: Eukaryota; Fungi
Description: partial contains 5.8S ribosomal RNA and internal transcribed spacer 2
Rfam family: 5.8S ribosomal RNA (bases 1-133)
Source: RNAcentral
UGGUUCUGGCAUCGAUGAAGAACGCAGCGAAAUGCGAUAAGUAAUGUGAAUUGCAGAAUUCAGUGAAUCAUCGAAUCUUUGAACGCACAUUGCGCCCUCUGGUAUUCCGGGGGGCAUGCCUGUUCGAGCGUCAUUACAACCCUCAAGCUCAGCUUGGUAUUGGGUGCUACCAUUUAGGUAUACCUCAAAAUCAGUGGCGGUGCCAUCUGGCUUCUAGCGUAGUAAUACUUUUCGCUAUGGAGCUCUGGUGUAUGCUUGCCAUCAACCUCUAUUUUAGUGGUUGACCUCGGAUCAGGUAGGGAUACCCGCUGA